GCUCUGAAGAGGAUAUCACCCCACACGGGAUUGACACAGGCAAACUCUUACGGGAGGCACCAGUGGGGAAUAUGGCCAGUAUGGGCGAGACCUGAUCCAGCAAAUGCCGCGUGUGUGAGAAGGCCUUCGGGUUGUAAAGCAACUUGGACCAGGAGCGAAAUACCCAUCGGUUAAUAACCGGCGGGGCUGACGGUACCAUGAAGGAAUAAGCACCGGCUAACUUCGUGCCAGCAGCCGCGGUAAUACGAAGGGUGCAAAGCGUUAAUCGGAAUUACUGGGCGUAAAGGGUGCGUAGGCGGUUCGUUAAGUCUGUCGUGAAAUCCCCGGGCUCAACCUGGGAAUGGCGAUGGAUACUGGCGAGCUAGAGUGUGUCAGAGGAUGGUGGAAUUCCCGGUGUAGCGGUGAAAUGCGUAGAGAUCGGGAGGAACAUCAGUGGCGAAGGCGGCCAUCUGGGACAACACUGACGCUGAAGCACGAAAGCGUGGGGAGCAAACAGGUAUUAGAUAUCCCUGGUAGUCCACGCCCUAAACGAUGCGAACUCCAAGUUGGUCUCAACUCGGAGAUCAGUGUCGAAGCUAACGCGUUAAGUUCGCCGCCUGGGGAGUACGGUCGCAAGACUGAAACUCAAAGGAAUUGACGGGGGCCCGCACAAGCGGUGGAGUAUGUGGUUUAAUUCGAUGCAACGCGAAGAACCUUACCUGGCCUUGACAUGUCCGGAAUCCUGCAGAGAUGCGGGAGUGCCUUCGGGAAUCGGAACACAGGUGCUGCAUGGCUGUCGUCGGCUCGUGUCGUGAGAUGUUGGGUUAAGUCCCGCAACGAGCGCAACCCUUGUCCUUAGUUGCCAGCACGUAAUGGUGGGGAACUCUAAGGAGACUGCCCGGUGACAAACCGGAGAAGGUGGGGAUGACGUCAA
This 913-nucleotide ribosomal RNA is filed under the name uncultured bacterium. Its description in RNAcentral is "bacterial SSU rRNA". It matches the Rfam family "Bacterial small subunit ribosomal RNA", at positions 289 to 1188 of the family's 1533-position model. The record is from RNAcentral.